RNAcentral lists this ribosomal RNA (253 nucleotides) under uncultured bacterium. RNAcentral's name for it is "partial 16S ribosomal RNA". It matches the Rfam family "Bacterial small subunit ribosomal RNA", at positions 524 to 776 of the family's 1533-position model. The record is from RNAcentral.
UACGGGGGGGGAAAGCGUUGUUCGGAAUUACUGGGCGUAAAGGGCUCGUAGGCGGCCAACUAAGUCAGACGUGAAAUCCCUCGGCUUAACCGGGGAACUGCGUCUGAUACUGGAUGGCUUGAAUCCGGGAGAGGGAUGCGGAAUUCCAGGUGUAGCGGUGAAAUGCGUAGAUAUCUGGAGGAACACCGGUGGCGAAGGCGGCAUCCUGGACCGGCAUUGACGCUGAGGAGCGAAAGCCAGGGGAGCAAACGGG